This 466-nucleotide ribosomal RNA is filed under the name uncultured bacterium. RNAcentral's name for it is "partial 16S ribosomal RNA". It matches the Rfam family "Bacterial small subunit ribosomal RNA", at positions 28 to 507 of the family's 1533-position model. The record is from RNAcentral.
GAUGAACGCUGGCGGCGUGCUUAACACAUGCAAGUCGAACGGGGAAGCCCUGCUUUCUGGGUGGUUUAGUGUCGUACGCGUGAGUCAAACAUGAGUAUCGUCCUCUUCACUCUGUGGUAUGUCUUCGAAACCGUGUCGAAUACCGUAAAGGAGCGUCCACCUCCUGGUGGGUGGUGGAAAGAUUUUUCGGUUUUGGUGGUUCUCGCGGCUUAUCAGCGUGUUUCUGAGGUAUUGGCUCACCACGGCGACGUCGGGUAUCCGGCCUGCGAGGGUGACCGGCGACUCUAGAACUGAGAUACGGACAAGACUACUACGGGAGGCAGCAGUGCGGAAUAUUGCACAAUGGGCGGAAGCCUGAUGAAGCGACGCCGCGUGCGGGACGACGGCAUUCGGGUUAUCACCCUCUUUCCGUAGUGACGACGCGAAAGUGACGGUAACUGAAAAAGAAGCACCGGCUAACUACGUG